AUGAACGCUGGCGGCGUGCCUAAUACAUGCAAGUCGAGCGAAUAGACGAGGAGCUUGCUCCUCUGACGUUAGCGGCGGACGGGUGAGUAACACGUGGAUAACCUACCUAUAAGACUGGGAUAACUUCGGGAAACCGGAGCUAAUACCGGAUAAUAUAUUGAACCGCAUGGUUCAAUAGUGAAAGACGGUUUUGCUGUCACUUAUAGAUGGAUCCGCGCCGCAUUAGCUAGUUGGUAAGGUAACGGCUUACCAAGGCAACGAUGCGUAGCCGACCUGAGAGGGGGGACGGCCACAACGGAACGUAGGCACGGUCCCAGCUCCUACGGGAGGGAGCCGUAGGGAAUCCUCCGGAAUGGGGGGAAGCCUGGACGAGCAACGGCGCGUUAGUUGUGGAAGUCUUCGGAUCGGUAAACUCUGGUAAUAGGGAAAAACAAAUGGUGAAGUUACUAAUCACGGCUUGACGGUACCUAAUCAGAAAGCCACGGCUAACUACGUG
RNAcentral lists this ribosomal RNA (496 nucleotides) under uncultured bacterium. Its description in RNAcentral is "partial 16S ribosomal RNA". It matches the Rfam family "Bacterial small subunit ribosomal RNA", at positions 29 to 507 of the family's 1533-position model. The record is from RNAcentral.